Cygnus olor (mute swan) is the source of this 1079-nucleotide long non-coding RNA. RefSeq lists it as uncharacterized. The transcript has 3 exons. Lineage: Eukaryota; Metazoa; Chordata; Aves; Anseriformes; Anatidae. The record is from RefSeq and is a predicted model, not a curated record.
UAAAAGAUAGGAAUUCUGUUAUGAGCUAUUCAACAUCCAUUCAUAUAAUUUUAACAUGAGAUGAAAUGGUGUAUCAAGCAGUAUAAAGGUUCAUCUCUAGUGUUGAAGUACAGAAGAAAACCAGCAUAUUUUUCAGAGCUUCAUUUUAGUAUUGUGAACUUUGCAUUUCAAUUGGUAUUAAAAUAUGCAUUUAGUACCCCUGGCACCCGCCCUGGUGAUGUGGUGGCUGUGUCACAGCGGCAGAAUGUUGGCUGUGGCCCAUGUCACAGACGACACAGCCACCCAGGAUGGAGGUGAGGAGCAGGUGAGCAAGGGCUGAGGUGGGGAGGGGGACAAGGAUGGGGAGGGCUGAGCCCAGGCAGGAAGACAGGGGUUGUCCCUGGUGGGACAGGUGGUGGCUGUUCCUUUUUCAUCCUCUAGAGCUGGAGGCUCACGCAGGGACAUGACCAGACCAUGGCGCACUCUUGUCCUCAGCCACUCAGAUGAAGGGAUUUGCUGCUUUCUACAAGGACACCGACAUCCAGAUAAAGCAUCAAAAAUAUUAUCUCUGGGCACCAACUCCAGUGAUGCAGUGCCCCUGUCACAGCGGGCAGCAGGCUGUCGGUGGCCCACAUCAUUGUGGGUGUGUGACAUGGCCACCCCAGGAUGGAUGUCUGACAGCCACCAGGGAGACGUGGGACUGACAGCCUUGGCCUGAGGCAGGGAGAGCCCCGGACAGGGGCAGGGGCUGCCCAAGGUGACUGAGGGUGGCUGCUCCCUGUGCUUGUCGGCCACAGGCAGUGAGUGAUGUAGCCAGGGAAAGAGAGGAAAUCAACUCAUUUACAUGGUAUCGGCUGCUGAUCUCUGAAUCAGGCAAAGUCCCAAGUGGCAGAGGUUCUUCCCUUGGAGUGAUUGAACAUGAUCAGAAGGUCUUGUUUGACCAGUGUGAUCUGGGGGAGCCCUGCUUCAGAGUACUUCAGCACCAAUGGAAUUUUUGAUCAUUUUGUCCAACGUCUCUGAAAUCAUGUAGACAACACAAAUGACUUCUGAAAGUUUUCACCUGUAAUCUUUGCAGCUAAAAUAUUUAAAACCUAAUAAUC